UACGUAGGGGGCUAGCGUUGUCCGGAUUUAUUGGGCGUAAAGAGCGUGUAGGCGGCCAGGUAGGUCUGGUGUGAAAACUCGAGGCUUAACCUCGAGAUGUCAUCGGAAACCAUCUGGCUAGAGUCCGGAAGAGGAGAGUGGAAUUCCUGGUGUAGCGGUGAAAUGCGCGGAUAUCAGGAAGAACACCCGUGGCUAAGGCGGCUCUCUAGUACGGUACUGACGCUGAGACGCGAAAGCGUGGGGAGCGAACAGG
This 253-nucleotide ribosomal RNA is filed under the name uncultured bacterium. RNAcentral's name for it is "partial 16S ribosomal RNA". It matches the Rfam family "Bacterial small subunit ribosomal RNA", at positions 524 to 776 of the family's 1533-position model. The record is from RNAcentral.